RNAcentral lists this ribosomal RNA (924 nucleotides) under uncultured Palaeococcus sp. RNAcentral's name for it is "bacterial SSU rRNA". It matches the Rfam family "Archaeal small subunit ribosomal RNA", at positions 1 to 925 of the family's 1478-position model. The record is from RNAcentral. Lineage: Archaea; Methanobacteriati; Methanobacteriota; Thermococci; Thermococcales; Thermococcaceae.
UUUUCCCCGGGUUUGGGAUCCUGCCGAAGGCUACUGCUAGAGGAGAUCGAUUAGCCAUGCGAGUCAGGGGACUUCGGUCACCGGCGGAUGCUCAGUAACACGUGGACAAUCUGCCCUCGGGUGGGGAAUAAACUCGCGAAAGUGAGGCUAAUACCCCAUAGGCACAGGAGGCUGGAAUGCAUCUGUGCCCAAAGCUCCGGCGCCCGAGGAUGAGUCUGCGGCCUAUCAGGUAGUAGUCAGGGUCAAGACCUGACUAGCCAGCGACGGGUACGGGCCUUGAGAGAGGUCGCCCGGAGAUGGACUCUGAGACACGAGUCCAGGCCCUACGGGGCGCAGCAGGCGCGAAAACUUCGCAAUGCAGGAAACUGUGACGAGGGAACUCCAAGUGUCCAUGCAUUGCAUGGACUGUUUGCCAGCCUAAAAAGCUGGUAGAGUAAGGGGUGGGAAAGACCGGUGCCAGCCGCCGCAGUAACACCGGCACCUCAAGUGGUAGCCACUAUUAUUGGGCCUAAAGCGUUCGUAGCCGGCUUGGUUAAUUCCUGGGUAAAUCGUACCGCUCAACGGUGCGGAUUCCGGGGACACUGCCAGGCUUGAGACCGGGGGAGAUCAGAGGUACUUGCGGGGGAGCGGUGAAAUGUUGUAAUCCCGCAGGGACCACCAAUGGCGAAGGCAUCUGAUCAAAACGGCUCUGACGGUGAGGGACGAAACCCUGGGGCGCAAACGGGAUUAGAUACCCCGGUAGUCCAGGGCGUAAACGCUGCUGACUUGGUGUUGGGGGCCCUGCGAGGGCGUCCAGUGCCGGCACGAAAGUAUUGGGUCAGCCGCCUGGGGAGUACGGUCGCAAGACUGAAACUAAAGGAAUGGCGAGAGCACUGCAACCGGAACAGCGUUGCGGUUUUAAUUGGAUCACACCCGCCCGGGAAA